AGUUUUCCUGUGAAGAAAUCCUAAAUGAGGGUUGAGAUGAAGGAAACCAAGUGAUGGGCAGUUCAAGAUUGCUGUCGUUUGAGAAGUUAAUGAACAAAUCAUCUUUCCUGUUGCGGUUGUGAGCUACAAAAUACCCAGAGGAGGCGGCACUUACUCUGGAGUUCAUACAGAAAAUUUUCCUGUGAAGAAAUCCUGAACGUGGUUUGAGAUGAAGGCAACCAAGUGGCUGUGCAUUCCUCCAAGACUCUUGCAUGAACAAUUUCAAAAAUCCAUGUAAUAUUUGAGUUUUUAAAUUGAAAAAAAAAUGGCACUUGCAUUAAAUAUGCAGUUAAAUGGUAAAUAAUACAUCCCCUAUAAUGAAUUGCAUCACUUUGAUGAUAUUUCUGUUAUAAUGAACUUCAAAAUUCUGUUGUCAAGCCACUGGAGUCACAUACUUUAUACCUUUCUGGACCUUGAAAAUGGUAGUUGCAUAGACAAUCAAUAGAGGGACAGAAAGUACCCAGAUUUAACUAAAAAUACUCUUAAUUUGUGUUCUAAAAAUGAAUGAAAGUCUUAUGGGUUUGGAAUGGUAUGAGUAAUUGACUGAAUUAACAUUUUUUUGUGUGAACUAUCCCUCUAAACAAUAUUGUUUUCU
Labeo rohita (rohu) is the source of this 634-nucleotide long non-coding RNA. RefSeq lists it as uncharacterized. Lineage: Eukaryota; Metazoa; Chordata; Actinopteri; Cypriniformes; Cyprinidae. The transcript is spliced from 3 exons. The record is from RefSeq and is a predicted model, not a curated record.